Molecule: ribosomal RNA, 978 nt
Filed under: uncultured Pseudomonadota bacterium
Lineage: Bacteria; Pseudomonadati; Pseudomonadota
Description: bacterial SSU rRNA
Rfam family: Bacterial small subunit ribosomal RNA
Source: RNAcentral
AUGCAAGUCGAACGCAGUAGCAAUACUGAGUGGCAGACGGGUGAGUAACAUGUGGGAAUCUGCCUUGUGGUUCAGGACAACAUUGGGAAACCGAUGCUAAUACUGGAUAAGCCCUUACGGGGAAAGUUUUAAUGCCAUAAGAUGAGCCCGCAUUUGAUUAGUUAGUUGGUGAGGUAAUGGCUCACCAAGACAAUGAUCAAUAGCUGAUCUGAGAGGAUGAUCAGCCACACUGGGACUGAGACACGGCCCAGACUCCUACGGGAGGCAGCAGUGGGGAAUCUUGCACAAUGGAGGAAACUCUGAUGCAGCGAUGCCGCGUGAGUGAAGAAGGCCUUUGGGUUGUAAAGCUCUUUUGUAGGGGAAGAUAAUGACUGUACCCUAAGAAUAAGGUCCGGCUAACUUCGUGCCAGCAGCCGCGGUAAUACGAAGGGACCUAGCGUAGUUCGGAAUUACUGGGCGUAAAGCGCGCGUAGGCCGUUGAGUUAGUUAAUUGUGAAAUCCCAAAGCUUAACUUUGGAACUGCAAUUAAAACUGCUCGACUAGAGUUUGAUAGAGGAAAGCGGAAUACAUAGUGUAGAGGUGAAAUUCGUAGAUAUUAUGUAGAACACCAGUUGCGAAGGCGGCUUUCUGGAUCAACACUGACGCUGAGGCGCGAAAGUAUGGGUAGCAAAGAGGAUUAGAUACCCUCGUAGUCCAUACCAUAAACGAUGAUUGCUAGAUGUUGGAAAUUUAUUUUCAGUAUCGCAGCUAACGCAUUAAGCAAUCCGCCUGGGGAGUACGACCGCAAGGUUAAAACUCAAAUGAAUUGACGGGGACCCGCACAAGCGGUGGAGCAUGUGGUUUAAUUCGAAGAUACGCGCAGAACCUUACCAACCCUUGACAUGUCUGUCGCGAGUUUAGGAAGCUAGACUUUUCGGUUCGGCCGGACAGAACACAGGUGCUGCAUGGCUGUCGUCAGCUCGUGUCGUGAGAUGUUGG